RNAcentral lists this ribosomal RNA (558 nucleotides) under Triticum aestivum (bread wheat). Its description in RNAcentral is "partial small subunit ribosomal RNA". The record is from RNAcentral. Lineage: Eukaryota; Viridiplantae; Streptophyta; Magnoliopsida; Poales; Poaceae.
AUGAGCAGUAUCGUGGCCAAGAUCAAGUCUACACCGCCUCAAACGGUGCAGGAUCAGGCCACGAGGAGAACUCUUCAUAGGGGUGUGUGUGUGCAAGGGCUAUAUGCGUUGCUUCCCCAGUACUGCUUGUCCAAUAAACAAGUGCUUGGUGCCUUCAAACUUUCGGCUGAACGGUGGCAUAAUCGUUUAGGUCAUCCAUCAUUUGCUACAGUUUAUCAAAUUCUUAGUAGAAAUAAACUCUCAGUUGUUGGUGAGAGAAACUCAGAAACUAUUUAUGAUUCAUGUCAGAAAGCAAAAAGUCAUCAGUUGCCAUAUCCUGUUUCCACCAGUGUGUCAACCAAACCGUUGCAACUUAUCUUUUCUGAUGUUUGGGGUCCAGCACCCACCUCUGUUGGUAGACAUACUUACUAUGUGAGCUUUGUUGAUGAUUAUAGCAAGUAUACAUGGGUCUAUCUCCUUAAAAAACGUUCUGAUGUGUUCCAAGUUUUUCACAACUUUCAAGCUCUUGUUGAACGUAAAUUCGAUAGCAAAAUUCUUGCCAUGCAAUCGGACUGGGGU